This 274-nucleotide long non-coding RNA is filed under the name Mytilus galloprovincialis (Mediterranean mussel). The record is from RNAcentral. Lineage: Eukaryota; Metazoa; Mollusca; Bivalvia; Mytilida; Mytilidae.
AAAAAAAAGCCCUAGCAACCGGUCUGAAAUUGCUGAAUUAAUUCAGAAUCAGCAUCAAAUACAUGGUUUUCUAGGUAUUGGAUACAUAUAAAUAAUGGAGUUUGAAUAAUAUACUCAACAGUUAGAUAGUUAAUUUACACUUGAUCUGCUUUUGGUUACCAUUGGAACAAAAAAGUUCAGAUUUGAUACAAACCAUUAUGUACCUUAUAAUAUCUGUUUUGCAGCCCUGUAAAUGGACUUCUUUCAACCAUAAUCAACAAAAAUCAUAUUUCUC